CUAGACGGCACUCACGCAGCGCUGGGCAUAAGGAAUGCCCUGCACUAGACGGCACUCACGUAGCGCUGGGCAUAAGGAGACGCCACUAAUGCAGCACUACAGAGACUGUACAUCUGAGGAGGGAGGCAGCCAUCAAGACCCUGUGCCUUUUAUUUUGGUGAAGAUGAUGAUUCUCUCAUACAUGUACAUGGAUAUCCAUGGCGAGGAGGCGUCAAGAGAAAACCACCCCUUGGAACAUGAGGACAUCGGCAUUGUUGUGGAUGGAGGCAUCAUUUUGGAGGAACCUUGGUCUGUUGCACAAGGCUGUGCAGUGAAGCUAGGGGUCAUAUACACGUUGAAUCAAUGUUGAGCUCUUCAAUACUAUUACAAAUUCAUGCAAAAAGUUGUCAUUCAGAUGGAUGGUGAUAAGCUCUUACCCAAGGUUCUCAAUCUUAAGAGUCCCUAUAUUUGUAGACUGUUACUGCAUGGCAACACUUAAUAGCUGUCCUGGUUUCUCCUGCUAAUCAGACAUUCCCUUGGAGGAAAGCAGCCCAAACAAACUUGCUUUUCUAGGACAGUGAUAUAAAGAUAGGCCAUAUGAAACUACAAGCUCUAGGAGUCACCACGAUAAAAGUAUAAGGAUUAACGUAUGCAGCCUUUCCAUGACCUGUAUAAAUGGUUAAAGGAACAUGCCACCGUUUUAUGAAAUUGGGUUAUUCUGCACCCUAGUAGCAGUGCUUCGGCCCAAUAUAGUCUCAAGUCAAUAUCUGCCUAAGAAAAAGCCUCGUCUUAACCUGCAUUGUCAAUGUACUCGUUGUGAAUGUGCAGGCCACAAGAAGUAUUUUUUUUUUUUGGCUCACUUUUACUCACAACAUGCUAUACGGCAACGAGAGAUUCUAUUCACUAUGCUAA
Alosa sapidissima (American shad) is the source of this 891-nucleotide long non-coding RNA. RefSeq lists it as uncharacterized. The transcript has 3 exons. Lineage: Eukaryota; Metazoa; Chordata; Actinopteri; Clupeiformes; Clupeidae. The record is from RefSeq and is a predicted model, not a curated record.